This 1007-nucleotide long non-coding RNA is filed under the name Panax ginseng (ginseng). Its description in RNAcentral is "long non-coding RNA (PGIN_LNC015926)". The record is from RNAcentral. Lineage: Eukaryota; Viridiplantae; Streptophyta; Magnoliopsida; Apiales; Araliaceae.
UAAAAAUCAAAACAUCUUUUGGCAAAAUAGAUCUGACCAAAAUAAAUCUAACCAUCUUCUUUAUCUAGGUUCCUUUUAUUCUUCAUCAAAAUAGAUCUAACCAAAACAGAUCUUUAUCAAAACAAAAGAAAUAGAUGUGCACCUCCUCAUAUCAUCAUCAUCAUAAUCUCGCCUAAACACAAACACUCUCCGUCUCAUCUUCUUCAUCAAAACUAAAGAAGUAGAUCUGCUUAGUUUUGCCAAAAAAGUCUCCUUCAAAUCUUUAGGUAGUCACCUCUUAUCGUCUCUCCCCCACAUGCCAAAUACAUACACAACAGAGUCAUCUCCUUUUUGAACUUUUGAUUUUGCUCCACGUCUUCAGAUUCACACAUGACACAACACGAAGAAAAUAACAAUCAAUCACCAAGUUAUUUGGAUUCUCUCUUUUCUUCUUUCAAAGCCGCUUGCUUUCUCUCUCCCCAACAAUUACAUUCCAAUCUUCACAUAUUUGAGAUGGGUUACUACUCUACAAUUCAAAAAUUUUUUGUCUCUCGAUUUUUGUUUAACUAUUUUAGCAGUUAAAAUCAUUCCCAUAAUUUUUAAUUGGGUCUUUUUUUAAAAAAAUUUAUAAAUUGAGUUGUGGGUUUUGAACUUUAUUUAAAAAACUUGAAUUAUACUUAUUUUUCCUUUGAUUUGUGACCCAUCUCAAAUCCCCUAUUUGUAGAACCCCGAGAGAGCGGGCGACGUGCUUUUUUGGCUUUUUGGUUGUUAAUUUUCUUAGUUGAAUCAAUGGCUGCUAAAUCAAAGAAACGUCAUGGAUGAAUCUCAGAAGAUGACCCAUAUGGAUUGGGUUAGAGAUCAGGCAAGGACGGCUUGGAGAAAGAUUUUGAUUAUGUUUCUCCCUUCAAUUUUUUUUUUAAGAUUUAGAUUGUAUUUUUGUAAAUUGUAUUCUUGAUUAUAUGGGAUUGUACAUUUGUUCUGUAGUUUGUAAACAAUGUCAAUUAAUUUUUUUUCUUUUAUUUUUAACA